Molecule: ribosomal RNA, 166 nt
Filed under: Frigoribacterium sp. PhB107
Lineage: Bacteria; Bacillati; Actinomycetota; Actinomycetes; Micrococcales; Microbacteriaceae
Source: RNAcentral
UUCGGCGGCCAUAGCGAGAGGGAAACGCCCGGUCCCAUUCCGAACCCGGAAGCUAAGACUCUCAGCGCCGAUGGUACUGCAAGGGGGACCUUGUGGGAGAGUAGGACACCGCCGGACUCCUUUUGAUAGAAGAGCCCCUCCACUGGAGGGGCUCUUCUUGUUUAAC